This 426-nucleotide ribosomal RNA is filed under the name uncultured Actinomycetes bacterium. RNAcentral describes it as "bacterial SSU rRNA". It matches the Rfam family "Bacterial small subunit ribosomal RNA", at positions 958 to 1385 of the family's 1533-position model. The record is from RNAcentral. Lineage: Bacteria; Bacillati; Actinomycetota; Actinomycetes.
AACGCGAAGAACCUUACCUGGGCUUGACAUGUUCCUGACAGCCGUGGAAACACGGUCUCCCUUCGGGGCAGGAUCACAGGUGGUGCAUGGCUGUCGUCAGCUCGUGUCGUGAGAUGUUGGGUUAAGUCCCGCAACGAGCGCAACCCCCGUCGCAUGUUGCCAGCAUUUAGUUGGGGACUCAUGCGAGACCGCCGGUGACAAACCGGAGGAAGGUGGGGAUGACGUCAAGUCAUCAUGCCCCUUAUGUCCAGGGCUACACACGUGCUACAUUGGCGCGUACAGAGGGUUGCGAUACCGCGAGGUGGAGCGAAUCCCUUAAAGCGCGUCUCGGUUCGGAUUGCAGGCUGAAACUCGCCUGCAUGAAGGCGGAGUUGCUAGUAAUCGCGGAUCAGCAUUGCCGCGGUGAAUACGUUCCCGGGCCUUGUA